RNAcentral lists this ribosomal RNA (674 nucleotides) under uncultured fungus. RNAcentral describes it as "eukaryotic LSU rRNA". It matches the Rfam family "Eukaryotic large subunit ribosomal RNA", at positions 244 to 937 of the family's 3401-position model. The record is from RNAcentral. Lineage: Eukaryota; Fungi.
AUGUGAAGCUCUUUCGAAGAGUCGAGUUGUUUGGGAAUGCAGCUCAAAAUGGGAGGUAAAUUUCAUCUAAAGCUAAAUAUUGGCCAGAGACCGAUAGCGCACAAGUAGAGUGAUCGAAAGAUGAAAAGCACUUUGGAAAGAGAGUCAAACAGUACGUGAAAUUGUUGAAAGGGAAGCGCUUGCAACCAGACUUGCCUUCGGUUGCUCAUCCGGGGUUUUGCCCGGUGCACUCNUUUGCAGUCAGGCCAGCAUCAGUCCGGGUGGUGGGAUAAAGGCCUUGGGAAAGUAGCUCCUCUCGAGGAGUGUUAUAGCCCUGUUGUGCAAUGCUGCCAGCUUGGGCUGAGGUCCGCGCUUCGGCUAGGAUGCUGGCGUAAUGGUUGUAAGCGGCCCGUCUUGAAACACGGACCAAGGAGUCUAACAUCUGUGCGAGUGUUUGGGUGUCAAACCCAUCCGCGUAAUGAAAGUGAACGGAGGCGGGACCCCCUCGGGGUGCAUCGUCGCCCGAUCCUGAUGUUUUCGGAUGGAUUUGAGUAAGAGCAUAGAUGUUGGGACCCGAAAGAUGGUGAACUAUGCCUGAAUAGGGUGAAGCCAGAGGAAACUCUGGUGGAGGCUCGCAGCGGUUCUGACGUGCAAAUCGAUCGUCAAAUUUGGGUAUAGGGGCGAAAGACUAAUCG